AGAAUCAACGCUGGCGGCGUGCCUAACACAUGCAAGUCGCACGAGAAAGGGGAGCAAUCCCUGAGUACAGUGGCGCACGGGUGAGUAACACGUGAAUAAUCUACCUCCGAGUGGGGAAUAACUGAGAGAAAUCUUAGCUAAUACCGCAUAAUACCCACGGGUCAAAGCAGCAAUGCGCUCGGAGAGGAGUUCGCGGCAGAUUAGUUAGUUGGCGGGGUAAUGGCCCACCAAGACGAUGAUCUGUAUCCGGCCUGAGAGGGCGCACGGACACACUGGAACUGAAACACGGUCCAGACUCCUACGGGAGGCAGCAGUGGGGAAUUUUUGCGCAAUGGGGGAAACCCUGACGCAGCAACGCCGCGUGGAGGAUGAAGCCCCUUGGGGUGUAAACUCCUUUCGAUCGGGAAGAUAAUGACGGUACCGAUAUAAGAAGCCCCGGCUAACUUCGCGCCAGCAGCCGC
This 461-nucleotide ribosomal RNA is filed under the name uncultured bacterium. RNAcentral's name for it is "SSU rRNA". It matches the Rfam family "Bacterial small subunit ribosomal RNA", at positions 26 to 518 of the family's 1533-position model. The record is from RNAcentral.